AUGGCUCAGAACGAACGCUGGCGGCAGGCUUAACACAUGCAAGUCGAGCGAGACCUUCGGGUCUAGCGGCGGACGGGUGAGUAACGCGUGGGAACGUGCCCUUCUCUACGGAAUAGCCGCGGGAAACUGGGAGUAAUACCGUAUACGCCCUUUGGAGGAAAGAUUUAUCGGAGAAGGAUCGGCCCGCGUUGGAUUAGGUAGUUGGUGGGGUAAUGGCCCACCAAGCCGACGAUCCAUAGCUGGUUUGAGAGGAUGAUCAGCCACACUGGGACUGAGACACGGCCCAGACUCCUACGGGAGGCAGCAGUGGGGAAUCUUAGACAAUGGGGGCAACCCUGAUCUAGCCAUGCCGCGUGAGUGAUGAAGGCCUUAGGGUUGUAAAGCUCUUUCAGCUGGGAAGAUAAUGACGGUACCAGCAGAAGAAGCCCCGGCUAACUCCGUGCCAGCAGCCGCGGUAAUACGGAGGGGGCUAGCGUUGUUCGGAAUUACUGGGCGUAAAGCGCACGUAGGCGGACUGGAAAGUCAGAGGUGAAAUCCCAGGGCUCAACCUUGGAACUGCCUUUGAAACUAUCAGUCUGGAGUUCGAGAGAGGUGAGUGGAAUUCCGAGUGUAGAGGUGAAAUUCGUAGAUAUUCGGAGGAACACCAGUGGCGAAGGCGGCUCACUGGCUCGAUACUGACGCUGAGCUCGA
This 690-nucleotide ribosomal RNA is filed under the name alpha proteobacterium IMCC10440. RNAcentral's name for it is "bacterial SSU rRNA". It matches the Rfam family "Bacterial small subunit ribosomal RNA", at positions 19 to 756 of the family's 1533-position model. The record is from RNAcentral. Lineage: Bacteria; Pseudomonadati; Pseudomonadota; Alphaproteobacteria.